AAGUCGUAACAAGGUUUUCCUUCCGGUUAAAGAUUAGUUUCUUGUAACUACCGAAGCCUUACACACCGACUGAAAAUAAAUGUGGAGUCCUGCCUAGUUAGGUGGAGACAAUACCGCUGAAUUGCUGUGAUCACAUAAGUGUACCAGCAGCCUAUCAUGUAGGCCCACAGAUCAAGUAGCGGUGGUUUCUAGCUACAAGGCUAGAGACUAUAAUAUGACCGGUCCUAACCUCAAACGGUUAAGAAUCAACGUUCCGUAGGUGAACCUGCGGAAGGAUCAUUAAUGAGUCAGGGUCUUUCAGGCCCGAUCUCCAACCCUUUGUAUAACUACCACGUUGCUUUGGCGGGCCCGUCUUUAACCGGACCUCCGGAAGGUUUUUAACCCCUGGCCAGCGCUCGUCAGUAGCCCUUGACAAACUUUUUUAACCAUGUUAAAUCUGAAAAUAGUUAAAUAAACUAAAACUUUCAACAACGGAUCUCUUGGUUCUGGCAUCGAUGAAGAACGCAGCGAGAUGCGAUAAGUAAUGCGAAUUGCAGAAUUCAGUGAGUCAUCGAAUCUUUGAACGCACAUUGCGCCCUUUAGUAUUCUGAAGGGCAUGCCUGUUCGAGCGUCAUUAUCACUAAUCAAGCCCGGCUUGCUGUUGGACCUUUUGUCGUCAAAAGACAGGUCCUAAAGAUAAUGACGGUGUCUUCUUGACCUGGAUACACGAGCUUUAACCAGCAUGUAUCUACAGUGGACUUUUAGACCCGGUCUUUUUUUAACCAAUUCUUUUAGGUUGACCUCGGAUCAGGUAGGAAUACCCGCUGAACUUAAGCAUAUCAAUAAGCGGAGGAAAAGAAACCAACAGGGAUUACCUCAGUAACGGCGAGUGAAGCGGUAAUAGCUCAAAUUUGAAAUCUGGCUCUUUUAGGGUCCGAGUUGUAAUUUGUAGAGGAUGUUUCGGGCACAGUUACGGUUUAAAUUUCUUGGAACAGAAUGUCAUAGAGGGUGAGAGUCCCGUCUUGAACCGAUUACUUCGUCCAUGUGAAACUCCUUCGACGAGUCGAGUUGUUUGGGAAUGCAGCUCAAAAUGGGUGGUAAAUUUCAUCUAAAGCUAAAUAUUGGCCAGAGACCGAUAGCGCACAAGUAGAGUGAUCGAAAGAUGAAAAGCACUUUGAAAAGAGAGUUAAACAGUAUGUGAAAUUGUUGAAAGGGGAGCGCUUGUAAUCAGACUUGAGCUUAACAGUUCCCCCUUCGUUCUCGUAGGGUUAUUCUGUUUUGUCCAGGCCAACAUCAGUUCGAGUGGUUGGUUAAAGACUUUAGGAAUGUAUCUACCCGCCGGGGUCGACUUAUAGCCUAGAGUGUCAUGCAGCCUACUUGGACUGAGGAACGCGCUUCGGCUCGGAUGUUGGCGUAAUGGUUAUAAGCGACC
RNAcentral lists this ribosomal RNA (1411 nucleotides) under uncultured fungus. RNAcentral describes it as "eukaryotic LSU rRNA". The stretch from base 777 to 1411 matches the Rfam family "Eukaryotic large subunit ribosomal RNA", at positions 1 to 649 of the family's 3401-position model. The record is from RNAcentral. Lineage: Eukaryota; Fungi.